This 2924-nucleotide ribosomal RNA is filed under the name Escherichia coli. Its description in RNAcentral is "partial 23S ribosomal RNA". It matches the Rfam family "Bacterial large subunit ribosomal RNA". Lineage: Bacteria; Pseudomonadati; Pseudomonadota; Gammaproteobacteria; Enterobacterales; Enterobacteriaceae. The record is from RNAcentral.
GGGUUGUGAGGUUAAGCGACUAAGCGUACACGGUGGAUGCCCUGGCAGUCAGAGGCGAUGAAGGACGUGCUAAUCUGCGAUAAGCGUCGGUAAGGUGAUAUGAACCGUUAUAACCGGCGAUUUCCGAAUGGGGAAACCCAGUGUGUUUCGACACACUAUCAUUAACUGAAUCCAUAGGUUAAUGAGGCGAACCGGGGGAACUGAAACAUCUAAGUACCCCGAGGAAAAGAAAUCAACCGAGAUUCCCCCAGUAGCGGCGAGCGAACGGGGAGCAGCCCAGAGCCUGAAUCAGUGUGUGUGUUAGUGGAAGCGUCUGGAAAGGCGCGCGAUACAGGGUGACAGCCCCGUACACAAAAAUGCACAUGCUGUGAGCUCGAUGAGUAGGGCGGGACACGUGGUAUCCUGUCUGAAUAUGGGGGGACCAUCCUCCAAGGCUAAAUACUCCUGACUGACCGAUAGUGAACCAGUACCGUGAGGGAAAGGCGAAAAGAACCCCGGCGAGGGGAGUGAAAAAGAACCUGAAACCGUGUACGUACAAGCAGUGGGAGCACGCUUAGGCGUGUGACUGCGUACCUUUUGUAUAAUGGGUCAGCGACUUAUAUUCUGUAGCAAGGUUAACCGAAUAGGGGAGCCGAAGGGAAACCGAGUCUUAACUGGGCGUUAAGUUGCAGGGUAUAGACCCGAAACCCGGUGAUCUAGCCAUGGGCAGGUUGAAGGUUGGGUAACACUAACUGGAGGACCGAACCGACUAAUGUUGAAAAAUUAGCGGAUGACUUGUGGCUGGGGGUGAAAGGCCAAUCAAACCGGGAGAUAGCUGGUUCUCCCCGAAAGCUAUUUAGGUAGCGCCUCGUGAAUUCAUCUCCGGGGGUAGAGCACUGUUUCGGCAAGGGGGUCAUCCCGACUUACCAACCCGAUGCAAACUGCGAAUACCGGAGAAUGUUAUCACGGGAGACACACGGCGGGUGCUAACGUCCGUCGUGAAGAGGGAAACAACCCAGACCGCCAGCUAAGGUCCCAAAGUCAUGGUUAAGUGGGAAACGAUGUGGGAAGGCCCAGACAGCCAGGAUGUUGGCUUAGAAGCAGCCAUCAUUUAAAGAAAGCGUAAUAGCUCACUGGUCGAGUCGGCCUGCGCGGAAGAUGUAACGGGGCUAAACCAUGCACCGAAGCUGCGGCAGCGACACUAUGUGUUGUUGGGUAGGGGAGCGUUCUGUAAGCCUGUGAAGGUGUGCUGUGAGGCAUGCUGGAGGUAUCAGAAGUGCGAAUGCUGACAUAAGUAACGAUAAAGCGGGUGAAAAGCCCGCUCGCCGGAAGACCAAGGGUUCCUGUCCAACGUUAAUCGGGGCAGGGUGAGUCGACCCCUAAGGCGAGGCCGAAAGGCGUAGUCGAUGGGAAACAGGUUAAUAUUCCUGUACUUGGUGUUACUGCGAAGGGGGGACGGAGAAGGCUAUGUUGGCCGGGCGACGGUUGUCCCGGUUUAAGCGUGUAGGCUGGUUUUCCAGGCAAAUCCGGAAAAUCAAGGCUGAGGCGUGAUGACGAGGCACUACGGUGCUGAAGCAACAAAUGCCCUGCUUCCAGGAAAAGCCUCUAAGCAUCAGGUAACAUCAAAUCGUACCCCAAACCGACACAGGUGGUCAGGUAGAGAAUACCAAGGCGCUUGAGAGAACUCGGGUGAAGGAACUAGGCAAAAUGGUGCCGUAACUUCGGGAGAAGGCACGCUGAUAUGUAGGUGAAGCGACUUGCUCGUGGAGCUGAAAUCAGUCGAAGAUACCAGCUGGCUGCAACUGUUUAUUAAAAACACAGCACUGUGCAAACACGAAAGUGGACGUAUACGGUGUGACGCCUGCCCGGUGCCGGAAGGUUAAUUGAUGGGGUUAGCGCAAGCGAAGCUCUUGAUCGAAGCCCCGGUAAACGGCGGCCGUAACUAUAACGGUCCUAAGGUAGCGAAAUUCCUUGUCGGGUAAGUUCCGACCUGCACGAAUGGCGUAAUGAUGGCCAGGCUGUCUCCACCCGAGACUCAGUGAAAUUGAACUCGCUGUGAAGAUGCAGUGUACCCGCGGCAAGACGGAAAGACCCCGUGAACCUUUACUAUAGCUUGACACUGAACAUUGAGCCUUGAUGUGUAGGAUAGGUGGGAGGCUUUGAAGUGUGGACGCCAGUCUGCAUGGAGCCGACCUUGAAAUACCACCCUUUAAUGUUUGAUGUUCUAACGUUGACCCGUAAUCCGGGUUGCGGACAGUGUCUGGUGGGUAGUUUGACUGGGGCGGUCUCCUCCUAAAGAGUAACGGAGGAGCACGAAGGUUGGCUAAUCCUGGUCGGACAUCAGGAGGUUAGUGCAAUGGCAUAAGCCAGCUUGACUGCGAGCGUGACGGCGCGAGCAGGUGCGAAAGCAGGUCAUAGUGAUCCGGUGGUUCUGAAUGGAAGGGCCAUCGCUCAACGGAUAAAAGGUACUCCGGGGAUAACAGGCUGAUACCGCCCAAGAGUUCAUAUCGACGGCGGUGUUUGGCACCUCGAUGUCGGCUCAUCACAUCCUGGGGCUGAAGUAGGUCCCAAGGGUAUGGCUGUUCGCCAUUUAAAGUGGUACGCGAGCUGGGUUUAGAACGUCGUGAGACAGUUCGGUCCCUAUCUGCCGUGGGCGCUGGAGAACUGAGGGGGGCUGCUCCUAGUACGAGAGGACCGGAGUGGACGCAUCACUGGUGUUCGGGUUGUCAUGCCAAUGGCACUGCCCGGUAGCUAAAUGCGGAAGAGAUAAGUGCUGAAAGCAUCUAAGCACGAAACUUGCCCCGAGAUGAGUUCUCCCUGACCCUUUAAGGGUCCUGAAGGAACGUUGAAGACGACGACGUUGAUAGGCCGGGUGUGUAAGCGCAGCGAUGCGUUGAGCUAACCGGUACUAAUGAACCGUGAGGCUUAACCUUACAACGCCGAAG